GGGAGUUGGGGCUGCGAGCUCCCGCGGGGCAGCGUUUGGCUCUGCAGGGAGGCAGACAUGCUCUCCGCUCAACUGGAGGGCUGGGGCUGUGUGCUCCCACAGAGCAGCGUAUCUAGCUCUGUGUGGAGCCUCAUGAUUUUUUCUCUGUAUCAACUUUAGCCGUUUCAGCUUCUGGCUUUUGUUUUGGAACAGUAACAUCUUCUGUCACCAGGAUCUCUUCAUCACCCUCACGGAGAUCCCCUACCAACCCUCCCC
Mauremys mutica (yellowpond turtle) is the source of this 255-nucleotide long non-coding RNA. RefSeq lists it as uncharacterized. Lineage: Eukaryota; Metazoa; Chordata; Testudines; Geoemydidae. The record is from RefSeq and is a predicted model, not a curated record. The transcript has 3 exons.